RNAcentral lists this ribosomal RNA (923 nucleotides) under Betta balunga. RNAcentral's name for it is "partial 16S ribosomal RNA". The stretch from base 205 to 659 matches the Rfam family "Bacterial large subunit ribosomal RNA", at positions 622 to 1298 of the family's 2925-position model. Lineage: Eukaryota; Metazoa; Chordata; Actinopteri; Anabantiformes; Osphronemidae. The record is from RNAcentral.
UUAUUAAUACCCCCAAAAGCACUCAAUACUAAACAAACAAAUCAUUUUUCCCCCCAAGUACGGGCGACAGAAAAGGAACGCUCAGAGCUAUAGAAAAAGUACCGCAAGGGAAUGUUGAAAAAGAAGUGAAACAAGCCAGUAAAGUUUAAAAAAGCAGAGACUUAUACUCGUACCUUUUGCAUCAUGAUUUAGUCAGCAAAAACAAGCAAAAGGUACUUUAGUUUGACCUCCCGAAACUAAGUGAGCUACUCCAAGACAGCCUAAAACAGGGCUAACCCGUCUCUGUGGCAAAAGAGUGGGACGAGCUUAGAGUAGAGGUGAUAAACCUACCGAACUUAGUUAUAGCUGGUUGCCUGAGAAAUGAAUAGAAGUUCAGCUUUUUGGUUUCUUCCCCCAACCUGCUUUAGCUUCAACCGAGCCAAAGAAACCAAAAAAGUUAAUUAAAGGGGGUACAGCUCCUUUAAACAAGAUACAACUUCAUCAGCCGGAUAAAGAUCAUAUAUAAAAAGGGCAGAAUAUUUUAGUGGGCUUAAAAGCAGCCACCUAUAAGAAAGCGUCAAAGCUCCUUCAUACCACCAUCCCCCCUUAAAUUCAGAUAAUAUAUCUAAACCCGCUAAUUUUAUCAAGCCGCCCCAUGUUAACAUGGGGGCGAUUAUGCUAAAAUGAGUAAUAAGAAAAGCCACCUUUUCUCCUUGCACUCGUGUAAAUCGAAACGGACCUUCCAUCGAAUAUUAAUCGGCCCCAAAAAAAGAGGGUAAUGAACCAUCAACCUCAACAACAGGAAAAACAUUCAAACAUCAACCGUUAAUCUCACACAACAUGCUUACAAGGAAAGACUAAAAGAAAAAGAAGGAACUCGGCAAACACAAGCCUCGCCUGUUUACCAAAAACAUCGCCUUUUGAAAACUAAACAUAAAAGGUCC